AUGUCCUCAUCUGUACACAUAAAUAUCUACUACUGUACAUUGCAUCUAAUUUAUUGUAUGCUUUCCUGGUCUAAUGAACUGGAAUUGAAGUCCUGUUUUGGUUUGUUCUUAAAUCUCACGUAUGUACCUGAAUACCAUCUAUGGUUUACUUUCUUAGAUACAUUAAAUUUUAGUAAGUUUCAUGGAAACAAUUUUGCACAUCUAAAUUAUGGUGCGACCCCUUCUGAUUAUGUGUUGAUGAUCAUAAUGGAUUAUGGAAUGGUAAGAUACUCUGAAGCUUCUGAUUGCUAUCUGCACUAUUGUAUAUUUAAAACAUGA
RNAcentral lists this ribosomal RNA (318 nucleotides) under Triticum aestivum (bread wheat). Its description in RNAcentral is "partial small subunit ribosomal RNA". Lineage: Eukaryota; Viridiplantae; Streptophyta; Magnoliopsida; Poales; Poaceae. The record is from RNAcentral.